UUUAAAAUCUGAAAUUCUAAAAUAUAAUGUAUUGAUAUCAUAAUAUGUUGUUUAAAAAAAUUUACAAAGAAAAAAAGAAAUAAAGAAAAUGACUGUUUUUAUGGACAAAUAUGUGUUAAAUUUAUGAAGAAAAAAAACACAAAUUGUGAAAAUAACGUAGAGCUACUUUUGCUAGAUACAUAUAACCUAUUAGAUGGAUACAUGGGAAAAGAGCUAUGUUCGCUUUGAACAUUAUAGGAUGGGAUGAAACACUCCAAAUUGAUGUAUUUGAAUGAAAAUGACACAUACUUAUACAUAUUACUUAGCUACUUAAAGCAUUUGUUUAACAUAGAAGCCUUCCCAAGGUGACUAUGUUUACUACACCAAAUCAGCACAAGUAGAAUGAUUUAUACUUAUUUUAUACCUCGUUUUUAAAAUUAAAUAUAUGCGUUAAACACUAAAACAAGAAAAUAUGCGAAUUUUUUAUGAAUAAUUAUAUUGACUUAAAUUAUAAUGUAUUGAUAUUUAAGUUUUUUAAAAUCUGAAAUUCUAAAAUAUAAUGUAUUGAUAUCAUAAUAUGUUGUUUAAAAAAAUUUACAAAGAAAAAAAGAAAUAAAGAAAAUGACUGUUUUUAUGGACAAAUAUGUGUUAAAUUUAUGAAGAAAAAAAACACAAAUUGUGAAAAUAACGUAGAGCUACUUUUGCUAGAUACAUAUAACCUAUUAGAUGGAUACAUGGGAAAAGAGCUAUGUUCGCUUUGAACAUUAUAGGAUGGGAUGAAACACUCCAAAUUGAUGUAUUUGAAUGAAAAUGACACAUACUUAUACAUAUUACUUAGCUACUUAAAGCAUUUGUUUAACAUAGAAGCCUUCCCAAGGUGACUAUGUUUACUACACCAAAUCAGCACAAGUAGAAUGAUUUAUACUUAUUUUAUACCUCGUUUUUAAAAUUAAAUAUAUGCGUUAAACACUAAAACAAGAAAAUAUGCGAAUUUUUUAUGAAUAAUUAUAUUGACUUAAAUUAUAAUGUAUUGAUAUUUAAGUUUUUUAAAAUCUGAAAUUCUAAAAUAUAAUGUAUUGAUAUCAUAAUAUGUUGUUUAAAAAAAUUUACAAAGAAAAAAAGAAAUAAAGAAAAUGACUGUUUUUAUGGACAAAUAUGUGUUAAAUUUAUGAAGAAAAAAAACACAAAUUGUGAAAAUAACGUAGAGCUACUUUUGCUAGAUACAUAUAACCUAUUAGAUGGAUACAUGGGAAAAGAGCUAUGUUCGCUUUGAACAUUAUAGGAUGGGAUGAAACACUCCAAAUUGAUGUAUUUGAAUGAAAAUGACACAUACUUAUACAUAUUACUUAGCUACUUAAAGCAUUUGUUUAACAUAGAAGCCUUCCCAAGGUGACUAUGUUUACUACACCAAAUCAGCACAAGUAGAAUGAUUUAUACUUAUUUUAUACCUCGUUUUUAAAAUUAAAUAUAUGCGUUAAACACUAAAACAAGAAAAUAUGCGAAUUUUUUAUGAAUAAUUAUAUUGACUUAAAUUAUAAUGUAUUGAUAUUUAAGUUUUUUAAAAUCUGAAAUUCUAAAAUAUAAUGUAUUGAUAUCAUAAUAUGUUGUUUAAAAAAAUUUACAAAGAAAAAAAGAAAUAAAGAAAAUGACUGUUUUUAUGGACAAAUAUGUGUUAAAUUUAUGAAGAAAAAAAACACAAAUUGUGAAAAUAACGUAGAGCUACUUUUGCUAGAUACAUAUAACCUAUUAGAUGGAUACAUGGGAAAAGAGCUAUGUUCGCUUUGAACAUUAUAGGAUGGGAUGAAACACUCCAAAUUGAUGUAUUUGAAUGAAAAUGACACAUACUUAUACAUAUUACUUAGCUACUUAAAGCAUUUGUUUAACAUAGAAGCCUUCCCAAGGUGACUAUGUUUACUACACC
Molecule: long non-coding RNA, 1900 nt
Filed under: Lathyrus oleraceus (garden pea)
Lineage: Eukaryota; Viridiplantae; Streptophyta; Magnoliopsida; Fabales; Fabaceae
Description: Pisum sativum (pea) long non-coding RNA (PSAT_LNC006678)
Source: RNAcentral